ACAUCCUUUUGUGUGUAAGUGUGUAUUAGUACAUGCUAACGAUAUUAAAAAAGUACAUACCUCAAAGAAAACGAUGACGCGAGUUAUCGUCUCUAACGUUCGAGGACUACAAAAAACACUCGGAUUGUAGGCAACAGUUUACUUCCUGGGAUUAGUGACGUAGAUAAGACCAACAUUAUCAUAGUUCAGCCCUCUCUGCUUUGCUUGGGUACGCCCUCAAAGACGGGGGUGGGGAGCGCCGAGUCAGAAGAGAGCUAAAAUGGCGAAGGUUGAGAGUUCCUGCUUUGACUCUGUUUGCAAACUCUUGUUUCAUUGUUUAAGUGAUUAAAUCUCUCGAGUAGACGCUGUCUCUUUAGAUGCGAGGGCAAAAUAGCACUUUAUGGACUUCCACAGAGGACAUCAUGUUUAAUACGGUUCCGGAAAAAUCCAGUCAGAAGUUGUUCACGGAGUUUUCACAAUAACUGCUUCUCAUGAACCGAAGCUGGAUUUGCGCGACGUCUCCUCUUGAAAGUUGGAUUACUGUGCACUUCUGGAUCACAGGCUAUUCGCAGCUGGACACAUCCUUCUACACUGUAUGCAAACAUGCAACAUCAUUACACACAGUACAAGGAGUCAGACUGGCAUAUGAGGAGCAAAGGAACCCAGGCAGUAGCAUCGUUUCACAAUGUUUCCAUCACCAUCAUCAGUGGAUGCCUUUGCCGUCCGUAGCCUGAGAUUUCAGAUUUGCAGCAAAAAAAAUUUGAUUUUCUCAUUUAUUGGAAUGCUGUGCAGGUAUUUGUACCUUGCAGCCAUCCAUUACAAUGUCACCAAGCCGUAACAAAAGCAGGAGAGGGAAAGUACAAGGCUAUGUUCCCAAAACACACAAGUGACAUACCUUAUGUGGAGGAUGUGAUCAGGCUUGUGUUUGAUGAGGUAUUUGAAGAUAAGCUGAAGGAAACCCCGAUUCCAAUGGACCUGGCAUCACAGUUUGAGAGACCUUCAAAGGAGGACGUGAUUGCAUGCUAUCUUCAGUGCAGGGGUCGUUGAAAGCCAAAAUUGUGACCGAUCUGAUCAGGAAGCUCCAAACGUAUCUGGAGAACAACACACGACAGGAUGAUAACCUUAUAGUGUCGUCUUAAAUAGCACCAGCUGACAAAGCUUUGAUAUGCCAUUUAUCUGAAUAGAUAGCUGUAAGAAAUGAAUUGAAAAUUUU
Paramisgurnus dabryanus is the source of this 1192-nucleotide long non-coding RNA. RefSeq lists it as uncharacterized. The record is from RefSeq and is a predicted model, not a curated record. NCBI's taxonomy places the organism in Eukaryota, Metazoa, Chordata, Actinopteri, Cypriniformes, Cobitidae.